This is a long non-coding RNA of Condylura cristata (star-nosed mole), 433 nucleotides long. RefSeq lists it as uncharacterized. The transcript is spliced from 3 exons. Lineage: Eukaryota; Metazoa; Chordata; Mammalia; Eulipotyphla; Talpidae. The record is from RefSeq and is a predicted model, not a curated record.
CUGAAACAGAAAGCAAAGGAGUGGGAGCUCAAGCACACCUAGCAGGAGACCAGAAAUGAUCCACGUGGUGGCUAAGGAGGUAGAUACACCUGUGUAUGUUCACUGCCCUCUACACUGGGUUUAUGCAGUUUAGGUCUGGAAGUUGUGUCAACGUAAAAGAAAAUGAAAGCGUCUGUUUCUGCAUAUAAUUAUUCAGUGCUGCUGAUAAAGUUGGAGUGUGUUGUGAAAUUCCAAGCAACUUUGCGGACAAUAAGAUGCAGCCUGGUUUGAACAUUUCACCUGCACAGGGAGGCACCAUGACCUUGAUUUCCUUUUCUGGCGUGCCAGUCCCUGUGGAACCUGGAAACAGUGCCUGGAGUUGUUACUGGAGAUACUGUUGGCUGGAGGACAUGAGGUUUUUAAAUCAGGUCAGCUGCACACCUGCCCGGCACAC